Molecule: non-coding RNA, 265 nt
Organism: Paralichthys olivaceus (Japanese flounder)
Lineage: Eukaryota; Metazoa; Chordata; Actinopteri; Pleuronectiformes; Paralichthyidae
Source: RefSeq, a predicted model, not a curated record
GGGAGGGAGAGAGAGAGAGAGAGAGGUGCAGAUAGCAGCGACUGCAGCUGUGCCUUGAUGUCAUGCUUAAAACAUGCAAUCUACUGCUCUCCGUUAUGUUUAGUUCCAGUCUCAGUGCAAAACCUCUCAACUCAACACAUCAAAGAGACACAUGCACCUGCGAAUAAAUCACAGCAAAUGCUGGACCAUCCAACAAAGUUCACCUGAUGUCCUCAGUGAUGCCAUCUAGUGCCUCAGAUGGCACCAGUGGCUCCGGACAAAGAAG